RNAcentral lists this ribosomal RNA (532 nucleotides) under unidentified oral bacterium RP55-44. RNAcentral's name for it is "bacterial SSU rRNA". It matches the Rfam family "Bacterial small subunit ribosomal RNA", at positions 8 to 521 of the family's 1533-position model. The record is from RNAcentral.
AGAGUUUGAUCCUGGCUCAGGACGAACGCUGGCGGCGUGCCUAAUACAUGCAAGUCGAACGAGAGCGACCGGUGCUUGCACUGGUCAAUCUAGUGGCGAACGGGUGAGUAACACGUGGGUAACCUGCCCAUCAGAGGGGGAUAACAUUCGGAAACGGAUGCUAAAACCGCAUAGGUCUUCGAACCGCAUGGUUUGAAGAGGAAAAGAGGCGCAAGCUUCUGCUGAUGGAUGGACCCGCGGUGCAUUAGCUAGUUGGUGAGGUAACGGCUCACCAAGGCCGUGAUGCAUAGCCGACCUGAGAGGGUGAUCGGCCACAUUGGGACUGAGACACGGCCCAAACUCCUACGGGAGGCAGCAGUAGGGAAUCUUCCGCAAUGGACGCAAGUCUGACGGAGCAACGCCGCGUGAGUGAAGAAGGUUUUCGGAUCGUAAAACUCUGUUGUUAGAGAAGAACAAGUGCUAGAGUAACUGUUAGCGCCUUGACGGUAUCUAACCAGAAAGCCACGGCUAACUACGUGCCAGCAGCCGCGGU